RNAcentral lists this ribosomal RNA (417 nucleotides) under uncultured bacterium. RNAcentral describes it as "bacterial SSU rRNA". It matches the Rfam family "Bacterial small subunit ribosomal RNA", at positions 355 to 775 of the family's 1533-position model. The record is from RNAcentral.
UGGGGAAUAUUGCGCAAUGGGCGAAAGCCUGACGCAGCGACGCCGCGUGGGGGAUGAAGCUUUUCGGAGUGUAAACCCCUUUCGACCCGGACGAAUGGCCCGCAAGGGACUUGACGGUACGGGUAUAAGAAGCCCCGGCUAACUACGUGCCAGCAGCCGCGGUAAGACGUAGGGGGCCAGCGUUGCUCGGAAUUACUGGGCGUAAAGGGUUCGUAGGCGGUGCGGCAAGUUGGGAGUGAAAUCUCUGGGCUUAACCCAGAGGCUGCUUCCAAAACUGCCGCGCUUGAGUACGGGAGAGGCGAGUGGAAUUGCAGGUGUAGCGGUGAAAUGCGUAGAUAUCUGCAGGAACACCCGUGGCGAAAGCGGCUCGCUGGACCGUUACUGACGCUGAGGAACGAAAGCUAGGGGAGCAAACAG